This 854-nucleotide ribosomal RNA is filed under the name uncultured organism. RNAcentral's name for it is "bacterial SSU rRNA". It matches the Rfam family "Bacterial small subunit ribosomal RNA", at positions 1 to 904 of the family's 1533-position model. The record is from RNAcentral.
UAGAGUUUGAUCCUGGCUCAGGAUGAACGCUGGCGGUCUGCUUAACACAUGCAAGUCGAACGGAACCUUCGGGUUUAGUGGCGGACGGGUGAGUAAAGCGUGAGAAUCUGCCUCCAGGUCGGGGACAACAGUGGGAAACUGCUGCUAAUCCCGGAUGAGCCUAAGGGUAAAAGAUUUAUUGCCUGGAGAGGAGCUCGCGUCCGAUUAGCUAGUUGGUGAGGUAAGAGCUUACCAAGGCGACGAUCGGUAGCCGGUCUGAGAGGACGAUCAGCCACACUGGGACUGAGACACGGCCCAGACUCCUACGGGAGGCAGCAGUGGGGAAUUUUCCGCAAUGGGCGAAAGCCUGACGGAGCAAGACCGCGUGCGGGAGGAAGGCCCUUGGGUCGUAAACCGCUUUUCUUAGGGAAGAAGCUCUGACGGUACCUAAGGAAUCAGCCUCGGCUAACUCCGUGCCAGCAGCCGCGGUAAUACGGAGGAGGCAAGCGUUAUCCGGAAUUAUUGGGCGUAAAGCGUCCGCAGGCGGCUUACCAAGUCUGCUGUCAAAUACCAGAGCUCAACUCUGGGUCGGCGGUGGAAACUGGCAAGCUAGAGUACAGUAGGGGUAGAGGGAAUUCCCAGUGUAGCGGUGAAAUGCGUAGAGAUUGGGAAGAACACCGGUGGCGAAAGCGCUCUACUGGGCUGUAACUGACGCUGAGGGACGAAAGCUAGGGUAGCGAAAGGGAUUAGAUACCCCUGUAGUCUUAGCUGUAAACGAUGGAGACUAGGCGUGGCUUGUAUCGACCCGAGCCGUGCCGAAGCCAACGCGUUAAGUCUCCCGCCUGGGGGAGUACGCACGCAAGUGUGAAACUCAA